UCACUUCACAAUAUUCAGAAACUCUCAAUACUCUUAUUUCAAAGAACAUAACAACAAAAGAAAAGAGGUAGCACCAAGCUUACCCCGGCUCACACUAUCACAGUAAUGGCAGUUUCUUCCUCUCUCUCAUCCUCCUUAUCCUACCACAAGAUACCAACUGCUACAUCUCUAAUGAAAACUGCUUUUCCUAACUAUUCAUCCAUUUUAACUACUGAACUACCUUUCUAACAGUCAUCUAUUCCUGUUUACACUAUAAACUAAGUAUCUACAAAUCAGCAAAUAACUACU
Molecule: long non-coding RNA, 288 nt
Filed under: Physcomitrium patens
Lineage: Eukaryota; Viridiplantae; Streptophyta; Bryopsida; Funariales; Funariaceae
Description: long non-coding RNA (PPAT_LNC006389)
Source: RNAcentral